AUGAAUUGGCUUAGUUGGAACUGUCGUGGGGCGGGGAACCCCUUGACAGUUCGUGAUCUCGCGUCUCUUGUUAGGACGCAUUCCCCAAGUCUUGUUUUCUUGUGUGAGACUAGGCAAAAUAAAGAUAAGAUGUAUCGCCUUAGAAACAGGUUAGGUCUGUCCGGUUUUGAAGCUGUCAGUUGUAAUGGUCGUAGUGGUGGUUUAGCACUUUUUUGGCAUGAGUCUAUGUACGUCGAUGUUCAGGAAGCCAAUGAAAGAUCGAUUGAUGUGUACCUUCGUGCCUCGGCUGAUGCACCACUUUGGCGGGCUACAUUUGUGUACGGAGAACCGCGUGUGGAGAACCGGCACCUUAUGUGGAACAAACUCAGGAGUCUUCAUGCACAAAGCUCGCUGCCACGGAUUGUUAUUGGCGAUUUUAAUGAAGCUAUGCGGGACUUCGAGCACCAAUCGGAGACCCCGAGAUCGCCAGGCCAGAUGCUUAAUUUCCGUGACGCUCUAGAGGCUUGUGAACUGACUGAUAUUGGUUUUACAGGUCACCCCUUCACAUAUGAUAAUAGAAGAAGCAGAAGGGCAAAUGUCCAGGUGAGGCUUGACAGAGCCGUGGCUUCAAAUGGCUGGAGGGACAUGUUCGUGCAUGCGUCGGUGACACACUUAGUCUCGCCGGCGUCGGACCACUGCCCUCUACUACUCAAAUGCUCUCUGGAGGAGGACCGGUGA
Molecule: ribosomal RNA, 717 nt
Filed under: Triticum aestivum (bread wheat)
Lineage: Eukaryota; Viridiplantae; Streptophyta; Magnoliopsida; Poales; Poaceae
Description: partial small subunit ribosomal RNA
Source: RNAcentral